CAAAAUAUAACUACGAAUCACUCAUGUGUGUUUUAUAAGUUUACAAACAUCAGAAUAUACGAAGAAUUUCCAUAACGCAUCUGUCGUAUGGGUGUGAAUCUGCGUCCUAAAAGCGCCCGUCAGACGAUGUAAACACAUGUAGCUGGUAUUCCCGAUGAUAGCGAUCUUUUGAUGAUUUAUCAGAGUAAUUUGAAAAGUGUCACACUUAUAUGAAAAAAAAAGGCUUGAAGAAAAUCUGAUACCUGCUUUGUUUUGGAAUUAACAUGAAUGAUGUUCUUAUUGGUGACAAUCUACCCGCACUCUUAUUCUGGAGUCAUAUAAAAGAUGAAAUGAUGAAAAGAAAAACCUGAACUCUAAGAACAGGAGGACUGUGUUUUUGAAGAGAAAAGAGAAGCAGAACUAAGAAGUCAUACAAUAAACACAUUGACAUCAUAUAAAGAAAUUGCAAUUAUGAGUUUGCAAGCAUGUGUCAGAUUUAAAUUAUGUCAAAGAAAUUUUUUUUUCUUCAGAAAGUCUUUUUAUCUUCUUGAAUUAAUAAAACAAAUGAACCAAAUAUAAUUGUUUUUAAAUUCAUACAUUUGUUUGAGAAGUGGAGGAACAAGCAUUUACUUAAGUUAAUAUAUUGAAUUGCUAUAUGCUGCAUGUAUUAAGGAUGUAAAUGGGUGGGAGAGAGAGUCUCUCACAUAGGAGAAUUUUGACUUAUUUAAAUUCUAUAUA
Molecule: long non-coding RNA, 717 nt
Organism: Magallana angulata
Lineage: Eukaryota; Metazoa; Mollusca; Bivalvia; Ostreida; Ostreidae
Exons: 3
Source: RefSeq, a predicted model, not a curated record